GACGAACGCUGGCGGCGUGCUUAACACAUGCAAGUCGAACGGAAAGGCCCUGCUUUUGUGGGGUGCUCGAGUGGCGAACGGGUGAGUAACACGUGAGUAACCUGCCCUUGACUUUGGGAUAACUUCAGGAAACUGGGGCUAAUACCGGAUAGGAGCUCCUGCUGCAUGGUGGGGGUUGGAAAGUUUCGGCGGUUGGGGAUGGACUCGCGGCUUAUCAGCUUGUUGGUGGGGUAGUGGCUUACCAAGGCUUUGACGGGUAGCCGGCCUGAGAGGGUGACCGGCAAGUGUGGGAUGGGGUGGCGGCGCGACGGGGGACGGGAGGGAGGGGAGAGAAAUGGUGGAACGGGGGGGUGGGCUGGGGGCAGCAGCGGGGGGGGGGGGAGAGCGGACGGCGGGAGGUAACGCGCUGUGGCGUGAGAGGAAGGGGGAGGGAGGGUGAGGGGGAAAGAGGCGCAGGCUAACGAGGGCAGAGGAGCCGGGGUGAGGGAGUGGAACGAGCAAAAAGCAGGGC
RNAcentral lists this ribosomal RNA (511 nucleotides) under uncultured bacterium. RNAcentral describes it as "partial 16S ribosomal RNA". The stretch from base 20 to 325 matches the Rfam family "Bacterial small subunit ribosomal RNA", at positions 47 to 358 of the family's 1533-position model. The record is from RNAcentral.